Molecule: small nuclear RNA, 123 nt
Filed under: Trichobilharzia regenti
Lineage: Eukaryota; Metazoa; Platyhelminthes; Trematoda; Strigeidida; Schistosomatidae
Description: U5 spliceosomal RNA
Rfam family: U5 spliceosomal RNA
About the family: U5 RNA is a component of both types of known spliceosome.
Source: Rfam by way of RNAcentral
UAACUCUGGUGUCUCUUCAUUUGCGGAUAAAUCUUUGGCCUUUUACUAAAGAUUUCCGUGGAAAGGCGCACAAUACAACGAGUCUUAUCUCAUUUUUUUUCAGCUCUGCCUUCUGACAGAGUA